CGGGGACUGUUGGUGCUAGUUAGAAGGCAGACCUGUACCUGCUUUAAAAAUAUAUGAAUUAGACAUUUUUAGCUAUUAAUUUGCUUGCUAUCUUAGAAUUUGGAAGAUAUAUCAGUAGCUUUGGAUGGUUCACUUCUAUUCAGGAACUGUUUCCAGAAAGAUCAAGAUUAUGAUUUUUCUUUAUAUGUAAAUUUGCUGAUAACAAGAGGUAAUUUUGCCAACCUUAUAGCAACUGUUAAUUUGAGAUUGCUGUUUUCAUUAAGACAUUUUGAAGUCUCCAAAUAUUUGUGAACACCAUUGUGGACUUUGUGAGAUUCUGGGGUCCAGAAUUCCCCUGAGGCAGCUAUCAUUUACCUUCUCUUCAUUUGUUUCUCUUCCCAGACCCAUCCUGAUCAACAUAAAACAGACUUGAAGAGAAAACAAUUCAUUAAAAGAUGGAAUUGGGAGAUGAUAGAAAAGACAAAGCAUUGACUUGGAUGGGCUGCUCUGGGAGAACCACGCUCCCUCAGAGCUCCCAGCUCCUGCUGAGCUAGUGCCUCCAUCAUCUCUCUUCAGCCACGGUCAUGAUCACAUAACCAGACCUCAUCAGCCAUGAUGAGAUGUUCUACAAUAUCUAUAAGAUCCGGAAGAUGGGCCAUGGGCUGUGCCUACCGGUGGAGGGAAAAGGGUCCCCACGUUCAUCUUCCUAUUUCAUCAGUGGCACCUGACAGUGGAGCAGAUAACUCAGAGUCAGGAUACCAAAGGAGGCAGGACUUUUGUGGAAAGGAGCAGGAGUUACAAGAACUGAAAAACUAUGGAAUUCUAAGGGAGAGAGGGAACAGAUGCACAGAGAAGGCUCGCUGCUGGUUGUGAUGUAAGAACACAUAGAUAGGUGUGGUCGUAUAGUUCAAAGACAUGAGACAAAGAGGUUUCCUAAUAUUGAAACUGCAUGAGAACGUGUUGUGAGGUAAAUUGGGAUCCAUGGUGGUGAAAGAAUCAAGUGAAUGCCUGAAAUAGCUACCUGAGCCAUUGAGCAAAAGAAGCUGUAAGCAAUGAAAAGCACCCAGUACUGCAGGGAGGUGGCAUGGGAUAGGCGGGCUUCUUUCUCGUGUUUCCGUACAAACACCUGUUUGUUGAAAGGCAGCUUAUUAUGUGUACAACCCCACGGUGAGUACUACAUCCCCAUGAUCACCUGAUGUAGCCCUUGCUCUCUUGAAAAAAUUCAAGUACAUAAAAGGUUGCAUAAAAGGUAGUGAAGAAAAGGGUGGCUGUGGAAAGGGAGGUGGACCUGGAAGCAUUUGGGGAAUGGGCCACUGGGAUGGACAUGACCACUGAGUGUCACUUGAAGGCAGAACAGAUCAGCGGUGACUAUGCAGAGCUGAACCCUGAUGUUAGCAUCUCAGCGGACUUUUUUUUUUUAGUUGUGCUCUGCAAGUUUAAUGUCAAAGAUUGUAAAGAUGCCCAAAACACACACACAUCCACGUAUACAUCCACACACACUAUUAAGACACAGUACUUUUUGGGGUCAUGGAACUUCUUCCUUCUGCAAUAAGAUGCAGUGAACAUUUGUCAUCUCGCUGGUCUCCUCGUGUCUGAACCUCCUUCCUAUGUUUGGGAAUUUCUCACAUUAUAGGGUAUAGAUCUUAUUCCUCAUAGACACUAAAAUGGCAGACAUUUUCUCCUCCAGCCUCCAUUGUAGCACUGGCCAGAUGACCCAGGUUCUGCCAAACACAUUACUGAAUUGAAAGCUAGCAAGGUGAAGAAGCAAG
Molecule: long non-coding RNA, 1748 nt
Filed under: Felis catus (domestic cat)
Lineage: Eukaryota; Metazoa; Chordata; Mammalia; Carnivora; Felidae
Description: lncRNA (ENSFCAG00000049720.1)
Source: RNAcentral